GUAGGUGGCAAGCGUUGUCCGGAAUUAUUGGGCGUAAAGCGCGCGCAGGCGGUUCUUUAAGUCUGAUGUGAAAGCCCACGGCUCAACCGUGGAGGGUCAUUGGAAACUGGAGAACUUGAGUACAGAAGAGGAAAGCGGAAUUCCACGUGUAGCGGUGAAAUGCGUAGAGAUGUGGAGGAACACCAGUGGCGAAGGCGGCUUUCUGGUCUGUAACUGACGCUGAGGCGCGAAAGCGUGGGGAGCAAACAGGAUUAGAUACCCUGGUAGUCCACGCCGUAAACGAUGAGUGCUAAGUGUUAGGGGGUUUCCGCCCCCCUUAGUGCUGCAGCUAACGCAUUAAGCACUCUGCCUGGGAGUACGGCCGCAAGGCUG
Molecule: ribosomal RNA, 372 nt
Filed under: uncultured organism
Description: partial 16S ribosomal RNA
Rfam family: Bacterial small subunit ribosomal RNA
Source: RNAcentral